AGCUAAUAGAUAUCCCGGUAGUCCUGGCAGUAAACGGUGCGCGUUUGGUGUGGGAGGAUUCGACCCCUUCUGUGCCGGAGCUAAACGCGUUAAACGCGCCGCCUGGGGAGUACGGUCGCAAGAUUAAAACUCAAAGAAAUUGACGGGGGCCCGCACAAGCGGUGGAGUAUGUGGCUUAAUUCGAUGCAACGCGAAGAACCUUACCUAGCCUUGACAUGCAUCUCUAAGUCGGUGAAAGCCGGCGAGUGUAGCAAUACACAAUUUGCACAGGUGCUGCAUGGCUGUCGUCAGCUCGUGUCGUGAGAUGUUGGGUUUAAGUCCCGCAACGAGCGCAACCCCUGUGAACUGUUGCCACCGGGCCUUCGGGCCGGAGCACUCUGUUCAGACUGCCCUGUG
Molecule: ribosomal RNA, 396 nt
Filed under: uncultured bacterium
Lineage: Bacteria
Description: bacterial SSU rRNA
Rfam family: Bacterial small subunit ribosomal RNA
Source: RNAcentral